GACACUAUUGCUGGCCUGGGCAAAUGUGAAGGCCUAAUUAGUUUUUAUUUGUAUGUCUUUAGGUGACGCUUUUAUUCUGAAAAACACGCCCCGGAAGUCCUGUUUUGCAAGGAAGUUGAAAUGCAUCUAAACACAAGUCUUUAAAGCUGGAUCCGUGUUUCAUCAAGGGAAAUACACAAAGCAUGGAUAUCCUUAACAGACUGGAAAUCUACAUCCCAGUGGAAGCUGAGGUGAAAAACAUCCCUCUGUCGAGUUUACCAAACUCAGUGCUUACACGAAUGGGCCUCCCCUCGUCUAACUCUGACUCCAGGACUCUCACAGACUCUCCAGAAGGCAUAUGGAUUUGUCCAGCAGUGGUACGGAGGAAAGUCGAGAAACCGGCCUCCCAUACAGGAAGCGGGCUUAGCAUCGCGGAAGUACAAAGACGCUGUUGUCAUCUACCGCGGACGCGUUUACCUCUCCACCAGGAAGUCCAAUCAAAGCCGGAGUCAACAAGAGAUGCAUGAAGCACAGGCAACUUCCCAGUCUUCCAUUCCUAAAAGCCGAACAAAGCGCCAGUCUCCCCGGGCUUCUCUUGAACCUGCAGAUAAAGAACUACAAAGGAAGAAAUUGCAUUUCACUUUGCCCCAAACAUCCCCAAAAAAGCUAAAGGAUCUUCUCACAAAAACAGAGAAUCCCUCCACCACAGACCGGGAGCUGCUAAAUGACAAGAAGAAACACACCACAUGUAAAGUAACACACAGUGAAAACAAGAAGGGGAGUGAUGUAUCCUCAUCCACAACUGCACAUUCUGUCCCUCGGUCCACGGACGGUGUGCACAAACUGGACAGCUCUAGUCAUGAGGAUACUGAUGGAGAGCAGGCUGAAGCAGCAGGGAAAGAGACAGCUUGGUUUCAGGCUGGGUGGGAGCAGGAGGGGGUGACUGACAGUGGUGAAUGUGAGACACACCUGGGAGAUGAAGAAUCUGACUGUUUACAAAUUGACAGUGGUGAAGCUGACAACAUUGUUGGUAUUGCAGAGCAGAGUAGCAACCAUAGCUGGAGCAGUAGAGAGUUUCAGAGGGCAGCUUGUGCCUCCACUUCACGACAGGAGCAGUUUGACUUGCUGGCAAAAGAGGAGAAGAUCGCUCAAGUGAAGGCCAAACUCAAGCUGAGUGAAGCUGCUCUUGACAGCCUGAACUCCUGACAGCAACUCUAAUUAAACUCACAUGAGGAGCACUCUGUUCUAUGAAUGUGUUCACAUGCGCAUUAGUGACCUGGUAUAUCCAGAAUAGGAUUAAAAUUCAUGGAAAGUAAUAAAACCAGGAUACUAGUGUACAUGUAAACGUACUACUUUCAUUGUGUCAUCGUGGUGAUCUUUAAUUUUCAAGCCUAAUACAUCAUACCAAUAUUUAUAAUAGUGUUACUAUUAUCUGACUAUCUUGAGAAAUGCUUGUCAUAAUGGGACCAUUAUAUGUAGAUAGUAAUUUUUUCUCUCAACCCCAUUUGUUCCCAUUACUAGUUAUGUGACUUAUCAAAAAUAAAAAGUCACAUAACUAGUAAUGGGAACAUAUGGAACAUAUCUGUUACUGGAGACUCAACCAAGAGACUUUAUGUUCACACAAACCUCAGAUGGGCCUCUCUUCUCAUUUUGUGUAUAAAAAAGUGAUUGGGACUUUCUGAAGUCUGGACCCCUGAUGUAGUGACUCCCUCCCCCUAUACAUUCAACCUGUUGUUGAGUUUGCCUCCAGCAAUUGCCAAUAUCAUUUUGUUUCAAAUGUAUAUCAUAUUAGACACAUAGACACUUUUAGCCAAAUGUUUGUUUGGAAAUUAAAUCUCAUAGGAUAUAUUUCUAUUUCUGCAAAUCUUUGUUUGCAAUAAAGAAGUGUGUGUGCGUGUACAAAGUUGUGUACUUUGUUGUUAUUUAUAGGAGAAUUCAAUAGAUUAUCUCCCAGGUGUCCUGCAUCCAUCUGCUCCUCACAUACAGUGUGAAAUACAUGUGACUGUCUUGAUAGCUUUGACUGAGAUUUGGUUUGUUUGAUACAUCUGGUGGAUUAGCAAUGAGCCACCUCCAGUAGGUUAAUUUAUUUUGGUUUUUCUGCGUAAUUCGAUCAAUUGAAAAUGUGUUUGGAAAUUGUCCAACUAUUUCUGUGACUUUAUGCCAAACAGCUCUUCUCUUGCUCUGAAUUGUUAUUGUACACAUAAAACUAGAAUGAUUUAUAUGAGCGAGGGCUGCUAUAUGUUUUGCAAACCACCAGAUGUAACUGCUUGCUGCGUUUAAAGUAAAAAAUCAAAAUAAAAUGAAGCUGUGAUGACUCCUCCACUCCACUAGGGGUCUCUGUGUUCUGUGCUUGCUGGCACCAGAUCGUCAGCUUGAUGAGCCACACCUGGGCCCGCUGUGGUUCAGGAUAUAAAGCUCACCACCUUCCUACAGCACUCCACCUCUCUUCCUUCAGACACAGCUGUGGUUCUAGUCACGCCUACCUCACCCACUAUCCCACAGUUAUGGUGGCCCUGGAAACUCAACUCCAGAAAACACAUACAAGUAGAUAAAGCACA
Long non-coding RNA from Cottoperca gobio, 2537 nucleotides. Ensembl lists it as uncharacterized. The record is from Ensembl. NCBI's taxonomy places the organism in Eukaryota, Metazoa, Chordata, Actinopteri, Perciformes, Bovichtidae.